Molecule: ribosomal RNA, 1399 nt
Filed under: Stenomacra sp. WCW-2003
Lineage: Eukaryota; Metazoa; Arthropoda; Insecta; Hemiptera; Largidae
Description: SSU rRNA
Rfam family: Eukaryotic small subunit ribosomal RNA
Source: RNAcentral
UAUGCUCGUCUAAAGCUUAAGCCAUGCAAGUCUCAGUACGAGCUGACUUAAAGUGAAACCGCAAAAGGCUCAGUAAACCGGUCAUAGUUUACCGGAUAUAUGCCACUCACGUGGAUAACUGUGGUAAUUCUAGAGCUAAUACAUGAAAAAAAGUCCCGACCAGAGAUGGAGAGGACGCUUUUAUUGGAACAAAACCAUUCGCCCGGCUCGCCCGGGCGUUUUCCUGAUGAUUCUAUAUAACAACACAGAUCGCACGGUCAUUGUACCGGUGACAUAUCCUUCAAAUGUCUGACUUAUCAGCUGUCGAUGGUAGACUCUUUGUCUACCAUGGCGCUCACGGGUGACGGGGAAUCAGGGUUCGAUUCCGGAGAGGGAGCCUGAGAAACGGCUACCACAUCCAAGGAAGGCAGCAGGCACGCAAAUUACCCACUCCCGGCACGGGGAGGUAGUGACAAAAAAUAACGAUACGGGACUCAUCCGAGGCCCCGUAAUCGGAAUGAGAACACCCUAAAUCCUUUAACGAGGAUCUAUUGGAGGGCAAGUCUGGUGCCAGCAGCCGCGGUAAUUCCAGCUCCAAUAGCGUAUAUUAAAGUUGUUGCGGUUAAAAAGCUCGUAGUUGGUUCUGCGUGCCACGCUGUCGGUUCACCGCCUGCCGGUGCAACUGGCAUGCCGUGGCAUGUCCUGUCGGUGGCGGAUAGGCUUCGCGGAGUGCCCCAUGCGGCUUCGGUCAUGUGGGUUGUCGCUCCGCGUUGUCCUUGUACGCCGGCUCAAUCCUACCGCGGUGCUCUUUACCGAGUGUCGAGGUAGGCCGACAAUGUUUACUUUGAACAAAUUAGAGUGCUUAAAGCAGGCUCUUGAAUCAGCCUGAAUAGUGGUGCAUGGAAUAAUGGAACAGGACCUUGGUUCUAUUUUGUUGGUUUUCGGAAUCCAAGGUAAUGAUCAAUAAGGACAGGCGGGGGCAUUCGUAUUGCGACGUUAGACUUGGCAAAUGCUUUCGCGGUGAAAUUCUUGGAUCGUCGCAAGACGCACUAGAGCGAAAGCAUUUGCCAAGUAUGUCUUAAUUGAUCAAGAACGAAAGUUAGAGGUUCGAAGGCGAUCAGAUACCGCCCUAGUUCUAACCAUAAACGAUGCCAGCCAGCGAUCCGCCGAUGUUCCUCCGAUGACUCGGCGGGGAGCUUUCCCCGGGAAACCAAAGCUUUUGGGUUCCGGGGGAAGUAUGGUUGCAAAGCUGAAACUUAAAGGAAUUGACGGAAGGGCACCACCAGGAGUGGGGCCUGCGGCUUAAUUUGACUCAACACGGGAAACCUCACCAGGCCCGGACAUUGGAAGGAUUGACAGAUCGAUAGCUCUUUCUCGAUUCAGUGGGUAGUGGUGCAUGGCCGUUCCUUAGUUGGUGGAC